Molecule: long non-coding RNA, 376 nt
Filed under: Bos indicus x Bos taurus (hybrid cattle)
Lineage: Eukaryota; Metazoa; Chordata; Mammalia; Artiodactyla; Bovidae
Description: lncRNA (ENSBIXG00005029993.1)
Source: RNAcentral
ACCAGCCUCUCUGAAUUCUUCAGGUCGCUUUAUGAUCCAGGUUUAAACCUCUCUUGCAGAUUGUCUCUGGAAACUGCGAAAUCUGACCAGAAGGCCCUUAGCCUCCCAGGCUCUGUAGCUUCUGCAGUGAUGAGGCCUGACCACCAGAUGGCUCCACAGAGGCCACUGCUCUCUCAGGGAAGAGGAGGCUGGGAAGAUCCAGGGGAGGACAUGGAAUUGGAUUUUCACCUGGGGAAGCUCUGACAGACUUUACCACAGUGUAAGGAAACUUCAUGGGAAAUAGAUGGGGAAACAGUGGAAACAGUGUCAGACUUUAUUUUUGGGGGCUCCAAAAUCACUGCAGAUGGUGAUUUCAGCCAUGAAUUUAAAAGACGCU